Gasterosteus aculeatus aculeatus (three-spined stickleback) is the source of this 2174-nucleotide long non-coding RNA. NCBI's taxonomy places the organism in Eukaryota, Metazoa, Chordata, Actinopteri, Perciformes, Gasterosteidae. The record is from Ensembl.
CACACACACACACAGGCUAGUGGAACAGAUCAUCAUUCAAUUAGCUCUUGUUGACGAAGGGCCAAACAGGGCCACAUCGGUUUCUGUAGCACAAGCUGACGAAUGCGUUUUAGAGUCAAUAAACCUGGAGGCCUGGGAAACGAUGAUUAGGCUGAAAGUGAAGAAGAGGAGGAAGAUAAAGCCCUGGCUGCUAAAUACGACCCAGAAUCGUGACAAAAGGUGAAGAGGAGAGACGGGUGAGCGGCGGGUUAAAGACUGAGACAAUGAAGGAAUAAGGACUCGGAGAAGCCGGAGGGAGAAAAGGUAGUAAAAGGAAGGAAAGGAAGAGAGAGAGGAGGCAGUCUGAGGAAGUAAUUUCGGUGCAGCCUGUGUGGGGGAGCACUGCACACACGGGGUCCCUCUCCCUCCAACAUAUCGCAGCUACACAAUCAGACGCACACAGCAGGAGAUACUGCGUAAUGCUGCCUCCGUCUUGCCCUUUUACAGCGCUGUAAUGAGACGCCGGGUUCAGUGUCGAUUCCAAAGGAGCUUUUACUUCUGUCGGCGCACACGAUGAAAGGCAACCGUCAUCAGUGUGCUCAUGUGUGCUCUUUGAUUAGUGUCGCCUCGUAAUGCCCCCCCCUGGGGUGUGUACCUGGGUUCAUGAGGCCGGCACACUUACGCCGCUCUUGUGUAAAGGGUAGGAAAGAAAAUGCAUCGGAAGGCGCUUUUCUGUUUUUUUUUGGGGUCCACCAAAGGACUCAGUGUCCCAUUUAGGAGGCGUCUCUGGCCGGUGUUACACUGCUUAGUGGACAGUUUUCACUGCAGUACUAUACUAGGGAAUACUAGGGUAUAGUAUACUCUAGUAUUCUGUGCAGUAAAGGACAUUUUGUGAUAAAUAGUUGGUCUUCGGUGAUAAAGAAUACACACUGUCACAAAAAGAGGCAAAUGAGAAAUACUUCUGUUUUCACCGGUUAAACCUCAUGCUGUCAUUCUUUUUGAGGAAGACCUUCAUGGAGACGGUUUUCAUCCUUUUUUCAACAUAACUGGCAUUUUUGUCAGUGAUCAAAAGCAGAAUGCUCUCUAAUUUUGAAGUAGAAAGGGAUUUUUGAGGCUCAGGGGAGGCGAGUCAUCUAUAAACCAGGGGAACGAGGAAAAAGCGGAGCCGUCAAUCACUGAGUCCGCUUAGCAGUCAACGGGUUUUUCAUUUACCUCAAACACGAGUCCAAACUGCCAAAACCUCUGGCAAAGGUGGAACGAUUUAGAUGAACACACACAUUCUAAUUAAAAUGUAAAAAGAAUCCCCUAACAAGUUACAUUUGUAAUGGCUUUAUAAUGAAUUAACGUUGUAGUCUUAGUUUUCAACAAUCCACGUUUCAGCGGCCUCUUGUAUCAAAAGAUACAGCAUGCGGAGCCUCGUGGGUUCCCGUUAAAAUGUGAUGAUGUCGCUGUUGUGCCACUCCUCCUUCGCCUUCCCUUUCUCGAUGUUCCUCACUGUGUUUGCGGAGCGCCCCCUGAGAUUUUGGGCAAGUGGGUUUUAUUUAUUGCUGUGCUGAUUUAAACUGGUCUCUUUAAUCACACUAACUUCAUAAUUAUAAUAAUAAUUAAUCUAUGUGAACAUCUUUAACACACACUUCCCCUUUCAUCUGCAAAUUCAUCAAUUCCCCAAAAGGGCUUCACAAUCUCUGUGAUUCUAUCACAAUAACAGCACACUGUAUAAUUAUUCUGAUGGAGAGAUGUGAUUUAUUAAACUGCAGCCGCUUUGGAAAUCAGCUCAUUAAAUGUUUCCACAUGCAUUCAUAACCUGUUCUUUUCUAUUUUAAUCCCUCCACGUCUUUGAGGUGAUCCUCCUUUGCAUGGUGAACGUGCACUUUAAUGCACUGGAUUAACCGCUCACCUGAAGCAGCAUCAGUUAUGUCCAUUCAUGUAUUCAGAACGUACAGUAUUGUUUCUCUCUUGUGUCUCGUGGCAUCUCAUCAAUAUUUGGAGCAAUGGAGGAAUUUGAACUGUCCAAUCCAGUUGCUUGAAUGUCUUUUUCCAGAGCUCAAAGAACAUUUUACCUGCAUUCAAUAAAAGGUCACCAGGCAAAUGAAUAAUAAUGUGUAUUGUUUAAUGAAACAUAACCUUAAUAUGUCGGUGAUUUACAGCCCUUAACUUAAAUAAAUUUCAUGUUUAAUAUUAUCUGAUCACCACAG